AUUGAACGCUCGCGGCCGGCCUAACACAUGCAAGUCGAACGAGUGGCGGACGGGUGAGUAAUGUCUUGGAAACUGCCCGAUGGAGGGGGAUAACUACUGGAAACGGUAGCUAAUACCGCAUACCAUCGGAUGUGCCCAGCUGGGAUUAGCUCGUAGGUGGGGUAAUGGCUCACCUAGGCGACGAUCCCUAGCUGGUAUGAGAGGAUGACCAGCCACACUGGAACUGAGAAACGGUCCAGACUCCGACGGGAGGCAGCAGUGGGGAAUAUUGCACAAUGGGCGCAAGCCUGAUGCAGCCAUGCCGCGUGUAUGAAGAAGGCCUUCGGGUUGUAAAGUACUUUCAGCGGGGAGGCGUUACCCUCAGAAGAAGCACCGGCUAACUCCGUGCCAGCAGCCGCGGUAAUAC
This 406-nucleotide ribosomal RNA is filed under the name uncultured bacterium. RNAcentral's name for it is "partial 16S ribosomal RNA". It matches the Rfam family "Bacterial small subunit ribosomal RNA", at positions 30 to 526 of the family's 1533-position model. The record is from RNAcentral.